GGCGACGAUGUCUAGGGGCUCUGAGAGGAGAAUCCCCCACACUGGUACUGAGACACGGACCAGACUCCUACGGGAGGCAGCAGUAAGGAAUAUUGGUCAAUGGGCGGAAGCCUGAACCAGCCAUGCCGCGUGCAGGAUGACUGCCCUAUGGGUUGUAAACUGCUUUUGUCCAGGAAUAAACCUAGAUACGUGUAUCUAGCUGAAUGUACUGGAAGAAUAAGGAUCGGCUAACUCCGUGCCAGCAGCCGCGGUAAUACGGAGGAUCCGAGCGUUAUCCGGAUUUAUUGGGUUUAAAGGGUGCGUAGGCGGCCUAUUAAGUCAGGGGUGAAAUACGGUGGCUCAACCAUCGCAGUGCCUUUGAUACUGAUGGGCUUGAAUCCAUUUGAAGUGGGCGGAAUAAGACAAGUAGCGGUGAAAUGCAUAGAUAUGUCUUAGAACUCCGAUUGCGAAGGCAGCUCACUAAGCUGGUAUUGACGCUGAUGCACGAAAGCGUGGGGAUCGAACAGGAUUAGAUACCCUGGUAGUCCACGCCCUAAACGAUGAUAACUCGAUGUUGGCGAUAGACAGCCAGCGUCCAAGCGAAAGCGUUAAGUUAUCCACCUGGGGAGUACGCCCGCAAGGGUGAAACUCAAAGGAAUUGACGGGGGCCCGCACAAGCGGAGGAGCAUGUGGUUUAAUUCGAUGAUACGCGAGGAACCUUACCCGGGCUUGAAAG
Molecule: ribosomal RNA, 715 nt
Filed under: Sphingobacterium sp. 8C
Lineage: Bacteria; Pseudomonadati; Bacteroidota; Sphingobacteriia; Sphingobacteriales; Sphingobacteriaceae
Description: bacterial SSU rRNA
Rfam family: Bacterial small subunit ribosomal RNA
Source: RNAcentral